CAUGUUUGCGCACACACGGAGAAAGACCCACAUGAGAAAGCUAUGUGUGCGUGGACUCAUGAACAUUUAUGGUGCAAAAGGCUGUACGAGGGAAAACGAAAAAAAAUUUUCUCAUGGCUCAUAGGUAUCCCCCUUCCACAUGGUCCAUGGUGGACCAAAGGCAAAGAGUGGUUCAUGGUGGACCGCAUGGAAGAUAAAAGGAUGGGUCCUGGAGCUUCAUGUGGAAAGAAGGCUGAGAGCGGCAUGAGGAUUUAAACAAUGCUGGGUGGCUAUCUUUUUUUAUUUGGUCCUUUUGAGCGGCGUGAAGGCUGCGCAUGGAAAGGAAAUGGGCUUGCGGCUAGAUCAAUGGACACGAACAGGUGGAGGAAAGAAACGCUACCAACGCAAUAAAAAAAAAAUGGAGAUGAGGCAGGAUCCAUAGGCGCAAUCCUUCACAUGGUAUACGAUGUGGAUGUUUGGUGACGGAAUAGGAG
This 473-nucleotide long non-coding RNA is filed under the name Elaeis guineensis (African oil palm). RNAcentral's name for it is "long non-coding RNA (EGUI_LNC006116)". Lineage: Eukaryota; Viridiplantae; Streptophyta; Magnoliopsida; Arecales; Arecaceae. The record is from RNAcentral.